UGCCAGACUGUCUUUGGAACCAGGCUGCAGUUCCAUUUUCUCUUUCAGCCCCUGGAACAGAGCCAGGAAAUGAUAGAGUUGCCGGCACAGGGACAGUGGGGUGGGGAGGGGGAGCAAACGCUCCCUGCAUUCGCUGUCACAGUCAUCUCUGAAAGAGCACUUCACAGAUCAGAGUGCAAUUACUCCAUUAUUCCUCCACAGCCAGGAAAAGUCUCCCUCUCCACAGCUCCGUGGCAGUCGCUACAGAUUCUACUGCUAAUCACGUCUUCCAGAUGUUGCUUGGAAAGGAUCCGUUGCACAAAGCUUGCCCCUUGCAGCAGGGCUCAAGGUUGGCACCCUGCUCAUCCCGGUCCGAGCCUGUUUGACAGUGGCAAAUCAAAACAACUUCAUCUUUAUGCUGAUGAGGCCUAACCACCACCACAACAAGAGCUCCACUGGAUCCAAGUGGAACCGUUGCCCAGGGCAGGUGACCUGCAGUGCUGCAAGCUUAUUGCUGUGGACGUUGCAUGGCAAGCUGUGUCAUCGCCUCCGCCUCCACGGUCGAGAUGGUCACAGGGGGAGCUGCCGUGGGUUCCUAUGAACGACUGCUCCAGACACGGUGGCCGGCGUCCUCAUAACCAACCCAGCUAUGGAUGCCUUUGACUCAUGUCUCCAUUCCUUGCUUAACCAUCACAGCUACUUCAUUAGAACCUAUUUCAGGAAGCACCACCAUUUAUGAAUCAGAGAAAUGGGUUAUACUUCCUAGGGAGAGUACCAGACGUAUGGAAGCCAGGGUUUAGUCAUUUCACCACUGAGGGUCUGUACAGUUCACAAACUGGGCCAUUAGACCUCUGGUGAUGAGGAAACUCCUGGGCACCUCUAGGCCAGCUUGAAUAGAGAGGAAUCUUUCUAAGCAGGAGGUUGGCUUCAUAGAUUUUUAAAGGCAAGCCAUGUCCACCCAAAGAAACAUUAUGCAUACUGAUGCUAAUGGAGGAAAGUGCAUUAAGUAUAGUGCAAAGACUCAUUAGUGGAAGAUCAUUACAAAAUGCCUUCCUAAAAUAAGGAUUCUGGUGGUUCACUUUCUUUGGAAACGCCUCAUAUUUUGUAUCCGAAACAUCCUAGACAGGGAGGCACCCAGAAAAACUAGUUAAAUACACAUCUCAAUCUGAUGGCACAAAUUCAUCCAGUUGCAGAGCCAGUGGCGGUGGCACACGCCAUCAUUCCAGCACUAGGGAGGCUGAGGCAGGAGGAUCGCCAUGAGUUUGAGGUCAGCCUGGGCUACAUACUGAAUUCAGGGCCGUCCUGAACUAUAUAGUGAGAUCCUGCCUCAAACAAAACAAACAAACAAAAACAUCUAGUUGCAAUCAACAUGAAGUAUUGACCGGGGACACAGACCCUGAAAAUGUUUUGAUCUUUGGAUUCGUCACAGGGUCCAGCUUCCAGGGGAGUCCAUUGUGCUGUGAGUGGAGGUGGUGACCAUCUGGUUUUACUCUUAUCUCCUUACAGAAAUGAGGAACUUGAGCAGCCACCCCCUCCUCCCACCUCCCACCGCACCUCAUCUCCUCUCUCCACACUGGGAAGGUUUUAAGCAUUUCUGAGGGACACCGGCU
Molecule: long non-coding RNA, 1589 nt
Organism: Fukomys damarensis (Damara mole-rat)
Lineage: Eukaryota; Metazoa; Chordata; Mammalia; Rodentia; Bathyergidae
Source: Ensembl